GGCCUCCCCACCCCCCCCCUCCGCCCCCCUUCUCUUCUCCCCUUAGCCGCAGCGCCAGACGGAGCGAGCGGGCGAGCAGGUCGGAGUAAAAACAAAAAGUCUCUGAAAACACGCGAGUUGUCAGCAAAGUUCUGUGCCUUCGCGACGCCUGCCCUGCGUGGGGUGGGGCAGUGCUGUGGGCUGGUGGAUGCUGACACCCACCCGUGUUGGGGGGUUCUCCGGCCAGUUCGGGCCACAAAGAGUGGACCCGACAGAGGAGCUGAGCCCACACAGAUGCUCGGUCACUGCCAAAGACAACAGCAGUCGGGGUGCAUGGACUAGUACCCUGAAAAAACAGUGCUUACCAGUGUCGGGGCCUUCCCGUGAAAAGUUAACGUAUGCUGCUACUUUCACUGGUACGUGGGGUUAACCGGGUGCUGAAAGAAAAUGUCCACAGUGAACGUACCUCGGUCAGUCUGGUGGGCUUCUGAAAGAUGGGUGUCUCACCCAAGCUCCCAAGUGAGGUGCUCUGCACAGUUGAUGAACACAGGUGUUUCAAGAUUGUUCGCUCUUUCUCAAGGCAGAGGGGAUGACUCUUAAGCUGCCUGCCUUGUUAUCUCAGAUAGAGAGGAACUUGAGAUAAUUGACAUUAGAUGGCAACCAUGGUCUUGGCUGACCUGUCAAUUUAUGAGCAUCCUGAAGUCCUACCUUUCUAAUGCAGUUGGAAUAACAGCAGAAAGAGCCCUUAAUAGCUAGGGUGAAGAUGAGAAGACAUGUUUGGAAAUAAGGUAGGAUGCCUGUCUGUUCUCCCAGCGUGGGAACUCCUUCAAGAUCCGUCCCCGGGUUAUUACUGCUCAUGGGAACCCACCACGGACCACUAGUACUUCUGUUUGAAACUGCUCAACUUUACUUUGCUGCAUCUGUAACGGCGCAAGGGUCCUUUGGCAGUUACAACCCUUAUUUACAAUUUUCCAUGCCACUGAGAAGCACUUGACCUCAGCAGAGAGACUGACAAUAAACCCAGUAUCUGAGACAGCUAAGUAAGAACUGGAGGAGGCUAACGAUGCCUGCAUGUGAUUAUUUGAGGCUUGAUUAUCCUCCUUGAAAGUUUGUUGAAAACUGGAGAGUGCAGCAAGCCAACCAAAUUAGCUGCCAGCUUAGUAGGUACUUCAGUGAGGACUUCCCAAUUACAAGAUGCACUUUGGUUUCCUUACGUGUUGGAGAAUGAACAGCACAUCUUGUCAGUAGACAGAAAAUCACCAGAGCCUGAAAUUCUCUGGAGACUGCUCUGUAGACAUCUAAAAAGUCCUUGGUUCACAGUCACCAACUUGUAAGUUAACUCCCGCUGAACAUGUAGAAGGGGUCACUGAGCUUGGGAUUCUGAUGGGGCUUUGAAGGGAUGGGCACAUAGAAAUUAGGCAUUGUGAUAAGAAUCUAAAUUUGGGUUUGGAUCUGUCCUUUAAUCCUUUGCAAAAGCCAGUGUCUAGUGGAAGUAAUUCAGGCAAGCACUGUGUCAGUCCACUGCACUCUCAUCUUUGUAAUUACCUUUGAUCCUUGAAUAUACAACGGCGAGCAAGAAAACACAGUCUCAAAGACUUCCCCACAUAAAUGUAUGGAUAUAACCAUGGUAGCAGCUUCUCUGUGUUUGACAUUCCAUUUUCUAAACUGCUUUCCAGCCAUUCAGAAGCACAGUGCUAUAAGUAAAUGAAAUCUGUGAUUAGCAAAAGGAUUUCAUGAAUACAUUUUAUGCACUGGAUAAAACUUGUUGCAUGUGGUAAUUUUUGAACAUUACUGGGUUGAUAGAAAUAUGCUGUUACGACACUUGUGUGGCAAUAUUCAUAGUAACUAAAAUAAAUAAAUAAAUAAAUAAAUAGAUACUGCUGACAUUCCCA
Molecule: long non-coding RNA, 1871 nt
Organism: Tyto alba (common barn owl)
Lineage: Eukaryota; Metazoa; Chordata; Aves; Strigiformes; Tytonidae
Exons: 2
Source: RefSeq, a predicted model, not a curated record